AAAGAAUGAAGAAGAACUUACUUGGCCU
This 28-nucleotide non-coding RNA is filed under the name Homo sapiens (human). The record is from RNAcentral. Lineage: Eukaryota; Metazoa; Chordata; Mammalia; Primates; Hominidae.